This 429-nucleotide ribosomal RNA is filed under the name Verrucomicrobiota bacterium. RNAcentral describes it as "Verrucomicrobia bacterium partial 16S ribosomal RNA". It matches the Rfam family "Bacterial small subunit ribosomal RNA", at positions 355 to 776 of the family's 1533-position model. The record is from RNAcentral. Lineage: Bacteria; Pseudomonadati; Verrucomicrobiota.
UGGGGAAUCUUCCGCAAUGGGCGAAAGCCUGACGGAGCAACGCCGCGUGAGUGAAGACGGCCUUCGGGUUGUAAAACUCUGUGAUUCGGGACGAAAGAUAAGCAGACGAAUAAUCUGCAUAAGUGACGGUACCGAAAAAGCAAGCCACGGCUAACUACGUGCCAGCAGCCGCGGUAAUACGUAGGUGGCAAGCGUUGUCCGGAAUUAUUGGGCGUAAAGCGCGCGCAGGCGGCUACUUAAGUCCAUCUUAAAAGUGCGGGGCUUAACCCCGGGAUGGGAUGGAAAAUGAGCAGCUGGAGUGUCGGAGAGGAAAGUGGAAUUCCUAUUGUAGCGGUGAAAUGCGUAGAGAUUAUGAAGAACACCGGUGGCGAAGGCGACUUUCUGGACGACAACUGACGCUUAGGCGCGAAAGCGUGGGGAGCAAACAGG